AUUGAACGCUGGCGGCAGGCCUAACACACGCAAGUCGAACGGUAACAGGAAACAGCUUGCUGUUUCGCUGACGAGUGGCGGACGGGUGAGUAAUGUCUGGGAAACUGCCUGAUGGAGGGGGAUAACUACUGGAAACGGUAGCUAAUACCGCAUAACGUCGCAAGACCAAAGAGGGGGACCUUCGGGCCUCUUGCCAUCGGAUGUGCCCAGAUGGGAUUAGCUAGUAGGUGGGGUAACGGCUCACCUAGGCGACGAUCCCUAGCUGGUCUGAGAGGAUGACCAGCCACACUGGAACUGAGACACGGUCCAGACUCCUACGGGAGGCAGCAGUGGGGAAUAUUGCACAAUGGGCGCAAGCCUGAUGCAGCCAUGCCGCGUGUAUGAAGAAGGCCUUCGGGUUGUAAAGUACUUUCAGCGGGGAGGAAGGGAGUAAAGUUAAUACCUUUGCUCAUUGACGUUACCCGCAGAAGAAGCACCGGCUAACUCCGUG
This 490-nucleotide ribosomal RNA is filed under the name uncultured bacterium. RNAcentral's name for it is "partial 16S ribosomal RNA". It matches the Rfam family "Bacterial small subunit ribosomal RNA", at positions 30 to 507 of the family's 1533-position model. The record is from RNAcentral.